GUAUCAAUAUUCACAACCACAACAACAUACCCUAAAGUUACAACUAGUACACCUGUAUCAAUACUCACAACCACAACAACAUACCCUAAAGUUACAACAACUAGUACACCUGUAUCAAUAUUCACAACUACAACAACAGCCCCUACAUUUACAUCAACUAGUACACCUGUAUCAAUACUUAUAACCACAACAACAGGCCCUACAUUUCCAACAAUUAGUACAACACCUGUAUCAAUUACCACAACAACUGUCCCCAAAGUUACAGAAACUAGUACACCUGUAUCAAUUACCACAACAACUGUUCCCAAAGUUACAGAAACUAGUACACCUGUAUCAGUUACCACGACAACUGUCCCCAAAGUUACAGAAACUAGUACAUCUGUAUCAGUUACCACGACAACUGUCCCCAAAGUUACAGAAACAAGUACACCUGUAUCAGUUACCACAACAACUGUCCCUAAAGUUACAGCAACUAGUACAACACCCAUAUCAUUUACCACGACAACUGCCCCUAAAGCUAUGACAACUAGUACAAAGCCUGAUCUAAUUUCCACAACAGCAACUAUCCCUGAAGUUACAACUGGUAAAACAUUACAAUUGAUCACCACAACCACAAGUGUUCCUAAAGAUGCAACGACAGCAGCAACAGUUGUAAUAACCCCAACAACAGUCUCUAAAAUUGUAUUAACUAAUACAACAGCUGCAUUUACUACCACAAACACAACAACAGUUUCUGAAUUUACCACAAAUACUACAACUACAUUAGUAACCACAAAAACUGCUGUAGUUACCAGUAACACAACUUGUUGUGAAUGUUGUUUGGGACUUUCUACACAAAUGCUUACAACGACAUGUCCAACAGAAGCAACAACAACACCUGAGCCACUGACAGUAAAACGGCUGAGUUUCAGAUCUGCUACAGCAACUUUCACCACUGAUUUACAGAAUCCAUCAUCAGCGGCCUUUCAAAGUCGAGCUGCACUGCUAAAGUCUACACUUGAGCCAUUUUUUCAGCAAGCAUUUUCCUCAUUCCGGUUUUUGACAGUGAUUUUAUUCAGAAAUGGAUCCAUCAUUCAAGAAAUGAAUCUCUAUUAUAAUUCAAAUUCCGUUCCUUCGAACUCUGCAAUUGCAGAUGUUUUGAUAAAGGCAGCACCUUCAAUUACAGCCUUUGACAUUGACCUUAAUUCUAUCACUGUUGAUGGCACAAUUGUGUCACAUGGAGUGAGUCACAAGAUCAGUCUCGUCACUGCAUCCUGCAUAGUCCUCUUGUCAUGGCUACUGUGAAGUCAGUUGUGGCUUCUCUGUAAAUUACUGUACAAUAAAGACCAACUGGG
Molecule: long non-coding RNA, 1334 nt
Organism: Oryzias melastigma (Indian medaka)
Lineage: Eukaryota; Metazoa; Chordata; Actinopteri; Beloniformes; Adrianichthyidae
Exons: 4
Source: RefSeq, a predicted model, not a curated record